This is a long non-coding RNA of Tupaia belangeri chinensis (Chinese tree shrew), 585 nucleotides long. RefSeq lists it as uncharacterized. Lineage: Eukaryota; Metazoa; Chordata; Mammalia; Scandentia; Tupaiidae. The transcript is spliced from 3 exons. The record is from RefSeq and is a predicted model, not a curated record.
CACUGAAGUUUGGUUGUAGUCAAGGUCAAUCUGGAGAGGGCUUCCAAGGAGGAAGUCAUCGUAUCCAUGAGGACAUCUUCCAACUUAAGAUAAUCGAAAGCAACCUUGGAACUUGUUCUACCGCCUAGCAAAAGCUUGGUUACUUGAAACAGGAAGUUUAUCAGUUGCGAGUGAAGAUGAAAGAGGACAGGAGAAAGGAGGAGAGAGAAGAAAACUGUCAUCUAACAGACUCGGUGAAUAAAUGAAGGAAAUACAGUAUGAUUGUUGGGUAACAUCAAGAUCCCAUUGAGGUUAAUGAUUAUAAAUUCAAAGAUACAGAAUUCUAAAACCAUUGCCAAUGUAGUCCUAUGUGAGAUGGAAGCCAUAGGCAUCUUGGUCUCAAGACUUUCUAAGUUUGGUUCAUUAAUUUCUCUUGUUUUGUUCAAGCUCAUCAAAAAUAUUUCUAUGAUUGAGUUUCUCAUUUAAGUCUCUUUCAAGGAAGAGAAUAUAGUGGGCAUAAGAACUUAUAGUAGUAUUCUGGUUUCUGUGAAAUAAACUUCUCAUCAAAAAUGAACAUGUCUGGGGGCCAGCAAGUGGUGUGGUGAU